Molecule: ribosomal RNA, 305 nt
Filed under: uncultured bacterium
Lineage: Bacteria
Description: bacterial SSU rRNA
Rfam family: Bacterial small subunit ribosomal RNA
Source: RNAcentral
CCCUACGGGGGGCAGCAGUGAGGAAUAUUGGUCAAUGGGCGGGAGCCUGAACCAGCCAAGCCGCGUGAGGGGAGAAGGUACAGCGUAUCGUAAACCUCUUUUGUCAGGGAACAAAGGCGGGGACUAGUCCCCGGAUGAGGGUACCUGAAGAAAAAGCAUCGGCUAACUCCGUGCCAGCAGCCGCGGUAAUACGGAGGAUGCGAGCGUUAUCCGGAUUUAUUGGGUUUAAAGGGUGCGCAGGCGGCCUGUUAAGUCAGCGGUAAAAGCCCGGGGCUCAACCUCGGCGAGCCGUUGAAACUGGCGGG